ACCGGUCUAGUUUAAAAAAAAUAUUAAUUUUGUAAAUUAGUGAUCCUUAGUGGAUCGGUG
This 60-nucleotide transfer RNA is filed under the name Appalachioria falcifera. Its description in RNAcentral is "tRNA-Thr". Lineage: Eukaryota; Metazoa; Arthropoda; Diplopoda; Polydesmida; Xystodesmidae. The record is from RNAcentral.